AUUGAACGCUGGCGGCAUGCCUUACACAUGCAAGUCGAACGGUAACAGGUCUUCGGAUGCUGACGAGUGGCGAACGGGUGAGUAAUACAUCGGAACGUGCCCGAUCGUGGGGGAUAACGGGGCGAAAGCUUUGCUAAUACCGCAUACGAUCUACGGAUGAAAGCGGGGGAUCUUCGGACCUCGCGCGGACGGAGCGGCCGAUGGCAGAUUAGGUAGUUGGUGGGAUAAAAGCUUACCAAGCCGACGAUCUGUAGCUGGUCUGAGAGGAUGAUCGGCCACACUGGGACUGAGACACGGCCCAGACUCCUACGGGAGGCAGCAGUGGGGAAUUUUGGACAAUGGGCGAAAGCCUGAUCCAGCCAUGCCGCGUGCAGGAUGAAGGCCUUCGGGUUGUAAACUGCUUUUGUACGGAACGAAAAGCCUCUUUCUAAUAAAGAGAGGUCAUGACGGUACCGUAAGAAUAAGCACCGGCUAACUACGUG
This 482-nucleotide ribosomal RNA is filed under the name uncultured bacterium. RNAcentral describes it as "partial 16S ribosomal RNA". It matches the Rfam family "Bacterial small subunit ribosomal RNA", at positions 30 to 507 of the family's 1533-position model. The record is from RNAcentral.